AUUGAACGCUGGCGGCAUGCCUUACACAUGCAAGUCGAACGGCAGCGCGGGAGCAAUCCUGGCGGCGAGUGGCGAACGGGUGAGUAAUAUAUCGGAACGUGCCCAGUAGUGGGGGAUAGCCCGGCGAAAGCCGGAUUAAUACCGCAUACGACCUGAGGGUGAAAGGGGGGGAUCGCAAGACCUCUCGCUAUUGGAGCGGCCGAUAUCAGAUUAGGUAGCUGGUGGGGUAAAGGCCUACCAAGCCUGCGAUCUGUAGUUGGUCUGAGAGGACGACCAGCCACACUGGGACUGAGACACGGCCCAGACUCCUACGGGAGGCAGCAGUGGGGAAUUUUGGACAAUGGGCGCAAGCCUGAUCCAGCAAUGCCGCGUGCAGGAAGAAGGCCUUCGGGUUGUAAACUGCUUUUGUCAGGGAAGAAAUCCUCUAGGCUAAUACCUUGGGGGGAUGACGGUACCUGAAGAAUAAGCACCGGCUAACUACGUGCCAGCCGCCGCAGUAA
This 500-nucleotide ribosomal RNA is filed under the name uncultured bacterium. RNAcentral's name for it is "partial 16S ribosomal RNA". It matches the Rfam family "Bacterial small subunit ribosomal RNA", at positions 29 to 523 of the family's 1533-position model. The record is from RNAcentral.